AUACGUAGGGGGCUAGCGUUAUCCGGAAUUACUGGGCGUAAAGGGUGCGUAGGUGGUUUCUUAAGUCAGAAGUGAAAGGCUACGGCUCAACCGUAGUAAGCUUUUGAAACUAAGAGACUUGAGUGCAGGAGAGGAGAGUAGAAUUCCUAGUGUAGCGGUGAAAUGCGUAGAUAUUAGGAGGAAUACCAGUUGCGAAGGCGGCUCUCUGGACUGGAACGGACACUGAGGCACGAAAGCGUGGGGAGGAAACAGGGUUAGAUGCCCUGGUAGCCCACGCCGUAAACGAUGAGUACUAGAUGUCGGGGGUUACCCCCCUCGGUGGCGCAGCUAACGCAUUAAGUACUCCGCCUGGGAAGUACUCUUGCAAGAGUGAAAAUCAAAUGAAUUGUCGGGG
Molecule: ribosomal RNA, 394 nt
Filed under: uncultured bacterium
Lineage: Bacteria
Description: partial 16S ribosomal RNA
Rfam family: Bacterial small subunit ribosomal RNA
Source: RNAcentral